Molecule: ribosomal RNA, 379 nt
Filed under: uncultured Peniculida
Lineage: Eukaryota; Ciliophora; Oligohymenophorea; Peniculida
Description: partial small subunit ribosomal RNA
Rfam family: Eukaryotic small subunit ribosomal RNA
Source: RNAcentral
GCUUGUCUCAAAGAUUAAGCCAUGCAUGUCUAAGUAUAAACGACUUUAUACUGUGAAACUGCGAAUGGCUCAUUAUAUCAGUUAUAGUUUAUUUGAUGGUCCUUGCUACUUGGAUAACCGUAGUAAUUCUAGAGCUAAUACAUGCAUUAAACCCCGACUUCUGGAAGGGGUGUAUUUAUUAGAUCUAACCAUCAUUUGGUGAAUCAUAGUAACUGAUCGGACCGUGCGUUAGCGCGGUAAAUCGUUCAAGUUUCUGCCCUAUCAGCUUUCGAUGGUAGUGUAUUGGACUACCAUGGCAGUCACGGGUAACGGAGAAUUAGGGUUCGGUUCCGGAGAGGGAGCCUGAGAAACGGCUACCACAUCUAAGGAAGGCAGCAGG